Molecule: ribosomal RNA, 252 nt
Filed under: uncultured bacterium
Lineage: Bacteria
Description: partial 16S ribosomal RNA
Rfam family: Bacterial small subunit ribosomal RNA
Source: RNAcentral
UACGGAGGAUCCGAGCGUUAUCCGGAUUUAUUGGGUUUAAAGGGUGCGUAGGCGGGCUUUUAAGUCAGCGGUAAAAAUUCGGGGCUCAACCCCGUCCGGCCGUUGAAACUGGGGGCCUUGAGUGGGCGAGAAGAAGGCGGAAUGCGUGGUGUAGCGGUGAAAUGCAUAGAUAUCACGCAGAACCCCGAUUGCGAAGGCAGCCUUCCGGCGCCCUACUGACGCUGAGGCACGAAAGUGCGGGGAUCGAACAGG